GUUUUGUAGAAGCAAAGCUCCACCUCAAGAAGCCAGAGCUCAGGAGGCAGAGAAGGCCAGGAGAACAUAACUGCACUUCAACCCUAAAUAAACAUCAGCCAAAAUUGGGGGGAGGAUUUUGGACUUGAAGGUAUGAGGAAAUUUGGAAAGGGAGAAGCUUGGAUAUUCCAAGAAAUGAAGCUUAAACCUCAAGAAAACAUUUUGAUAACUUUAAAAUUUCAAGCUGCCUGGCAAGAAUGCGGACAUAAUUGUAGUUAAUUGUCUUGGAUAUGUAGAUAAAAGCAACUCACUAACGAGGAAUAAGAUUGAAAACGUCUUGUCUCCUGGUACUAGAGAGUUAACCAAGAAGUCCUGGACAACAUUCUCCUAGACAAUCAGGUGGUGUUGCCAUAUCCUUCUGAUCUUUGAAUCUGAACUGGCCUUGGUGGCUCAGUAGUAAUGAACAGACAUAAAGGAACAAAAGUGACACUGCGUGCCUUCAGAAGCUAGAUCAUUAAAAAUAGCACUGCUUUUGCUCUGCCCACUGGAGCACUCAGGCUUGGACCCAUGAGCCACCAUAGUGGAACCACUCUGAUAUUGAUAUGCUGUGAAGAAACUCAAUCCACUGAAGAAACCACAGGUAGGGGCUCUAGUUGAAAGGUCCAGUUGUUAAAUUAACUCGCAUUACCUCUUGUCCCUCAAAGCUGCCUUAAGGCUUAUUUUGGAGUCACAUUGCUAAGCCUUGGGUUUUUAUGUCCUUAAUUUGUUAAUCAGUGUAUUUUCUGAGAUUUACCAGGAAAUGCAGUUGACAGCACAGUUCCAAUAAUUAUUGGAAGAACAAGGUCAGAAGUUCAAAAAGAAAAGGAAAGAAAAAGAUAAAAAGAAAACAGAAAAGAAAAGAAAAAGAAGAAAAGAAAAAAGGAAAUCUGGUACAAAACACGGGCCAAGGGUCUUUAGCAUUCCCAGAGGGAAACUUGGACAGAAAUUCAAACAAAAAAGCUUUUAAAAAGCUGACACUGUAUUGUAUACUUAGUUUAAUGCUAAAUAUGUAUCUUUAUCUAGCAAUAAUUAAAGACUGAAGGAACAUUUUUUGUUUGAUACUUUUUGAUAUGCAUUAUUAGUCAUUCACACUUCUAUGUAUUUAGCCACUCACCAAGGAAAGCUUCUUGUGAGAAGUGUUAUACUUGAACAGCUAUAAAUUGGCUGAAUUUUUUAAAAAUGGAAAUUGAAAGAUAGCCAUCCCACCUUCACAUAGCAGUCUAAAACUGGAUAAAGCAUUAUGCUAUAAGUUUUAUUUCAUACUUAAUAAUAAAGUUGGAAUGUGCAAAUUAUUGCUACCCUACAAUUGUGAUAUAAAAUAUUCUGAACCACGUUUGACAGUCCAAGCUUUCUAAAUUUCAAAAAUUAACAUUAUAGGCACACUGACUUUCUUUUAGAGUCCAAAAUUCCAAAAGGCAAGAAUAACGUACAAAUGCUUUUGAAGUCAGAUAGAUGCUGGUCAGGUAUGAUUAAAAACAUUUUGCCUUUGUUUAAUCAAUUAAUUUUUAUAUCAUCCAAACACGCAAGCAAAUCUUUAAGAUAUGUGAUUGUUUGUUGCAUUUAUAAAUUUGUGUUUGGCUCUAAUCUGAAGGCGUUUGUAACAAAUGUGUCUCCUAAUAGAGUGGCUUUUCUUCUGGGGUGGAUACAGUUCUCCAGUGGCACCAGAGACUUCAAGCACACUGCUGACAGACAAGAGGCUGUCAGUUUAACAGAGUCCUAUCACAUAGUAAAUCAAUACGUUAACCCACAG
This 1768-nucleotide long non-coding RNA is filed under the name Homo sapiens (human). Its description in RNAcentral is "HSALNT0133349". The record is from RNAcentral. Lineage: Eukaryota; Metazoa; Chordata; Mammalia; Primates; Hominidae.